This is a long non-coding RNA of Anopheles gambiae (African malaria mosquito), 14352 nucleotides long. RefSeq lists it as uncharacterized. The transcript has 2 exons. Lineage: Eukaryota; Metazoa; Arthropoda; Insecta; Diptera; Culicidae. The record is from RefSeq and is a predicted model, not a curated record.
UGUUUAAAUAAAAAAAAAACGAAAGAGACGGACGGAUUGCGGUUGACUCACCUUCAUGUCUAGGUGGAUGAUGCUCCGGCUGUGAAUGUACUCCAUGCCCUCGCAGAUCUGCCGCAUGAAGACGGCGCACGCUUUCUCCGUCAGCACGAAAUCGUCGUCAAUGACGCGCUCGAACAGCUCGCCACCUUGAAUGCUGCAAGUGCAGAGGGGUGACAUGAGCGCUAGAUGAGUGGCUAUGGUGGUAGCGGGAGACCUGGCAGACGUGUGGGGCCGCACGUUCCGUGCGAAGGUCACACCAUUCCGAAUGGGGCAUGACGGCGGGGACUCACCCGCCACCCGAAGGACGCGAGACCAACAAAACACUCGCACACGGGCAUACUUACAGCUCGAGGAUGACGUAGAACUUGUUCUCGUAGUCGAACGCAUCGUACAGCUGGAUCAGCCGGGGAUGGUGCAGGCAGCUCAUGAUGUCGAUCUCGCGCACCAUGUCGCCCCGGUCCUUCUUCUUCUUGUAGGGGAUAAUCUUGGCCGCCAGCUCUAGCCCGGUCGCCUUCUCGCGGCAGUGAAACACCGUGCCGAAGGUGCCGCGCCCGAGCUCGGGCAGUAUCUCGAACUGCUGCUUCGGGUCGACGUCCAGCUUGAGCUGCACCUCCCGGAACGGGAAGGAUGGUGCGAGGUCUGUUUGGGGGGAGGAAAGAGGAGAGAAAGAGUGAGUGAGGAGAAGCAUUUGUUUAGCCAUUUUGUAUUUGUGUGUCGGGCAGCGAAAAAAGGGCCAACACGUGGAGACCGUGGCAACCUUGGACUGGACAAGUCAAUGAAAAUAAGACACGGUGGCGGCGGCGGUGGCGGUGGCAGUGUUGGUUUGUUUACUUGGAAAACACACACACGGAUCGCGGUAAAAGUGGAUGAUUUUCUCUCCUCGUUGACGCUUUGUCUAGGUGCGUCUCGCACAGUUCGUUCGGUGUGGUGAGACGUAGUUUCUAAAAGUUGUUAUUAGAUUUAUCUACAUGUGUUUUUGUUGUUGUUGUUGUUGUUUGAUUUCGAUGGGAAAGGGGAAAAGUAGGAUUUUUCUUUUUGGCACUAACGAUCUACGCGAUCUUACUACUUGCGUUAUAUGAGAUUUAUGUGAAAAUCCGAAUCCGAUUCUUAUUGGAUUCUAUUGGAUUGGCAUCCCUGGGGCAACAAACGUAUGUCUCUGCUACUGAAACAGUAUUUGUGUGGAGAUGUCACUGUUGAACUUCAUGAUAGAAAUAAGAGAUUCAAACAACAAUCAAAUUGCCACUACAAACGUUUGUUCGUGCAGUUCAUCUCUUUCAUGCAUUUCAAACAGGAAUUGUGAGGAUCUUUCUUUGUAUUUGCCUUUCUAUUCCAGAUUUGAGGACAAUAAUACACACACUCCAAGAUGUAAUCCCUCACUUCUCACUGUGGCAAACUCCCAAAACUCCUUAAUGGACGAGACCUUCGAUAUUUUCCAUUCCAUUUAAGCAUAAACGAAGUGAUAUUGAAUUUGGAAGAAUUUACCGUACAACGUUGUACACAUGUUUCCAAAACUUGUUGUUCGAUGUAUGACGUGAAUUAGUCGCUUUGUACUCCAAAGCUUAAGCUGAUCAUCUGGAACAACGAUUGCGCGCCUUCAAAAUGUUCCUUUGCCACUUUAAACGUAUGAAACUGCUUAGUCACGGGUUUCACUUUAGACUGCUUGAGAACCAAUAACGCUUCUUGUUAAGAAAGAUCUUCCAUCCUCUCUCAAAGAAAGUUGAUACUGUUACUGAACACCCCCAAAUCAUUCACAGAACUUCACAUCAAAUAUCUGCCUUUACUCACACCGCGGUUUGCACAAGCUCCACACUCUCGCAACGUCCAUGCUGAACUGAUUUCCAUUCGCUGCGACUUUUCGCAACCGACUGAAAUCAGAGACACACGAACGCGAUCGUACCUCACGCUCCCAGCAAACCCAUCCCGCAUCGAAUCGCGCUUAAUUGGAGGUAGAAUCCACACCUCGGAAUUGCGAUCCACACCUUUCCUCACACACACACACACACACACACACACACCCACUGUUUCGAAUCACGCUUCAUAUUUCGUCCUUUGGCCUCUCGGCGCCAUUGACCGUGGCCGCAGCAGCUACGUUCAGCCCCGGCUGGUUCGGUGCUGCUCCUCCGUGUUAGUGUCGUGUGUGUGUGUGUUUACUGAUGCUGAUGCGUUGUGACAGGACUGGCCUGCUCUGCCUCCAAAGCGCGCGAUCGUCGUGCCCCCCCCCCUGCCCCACGUGGGGAGUGUUUUGUUGAACCUUGUGAAAUCGGGUCGGACAUUUAUGUCGCUUUCGCACCCGCCCCCGGGAUCCCGCCCAGUUGACCGUGACAGGCCAGAAGGGACCGGUGAUGGUACAAAACAAUAAGAGGAGAGUCAACGGUGAACCAAACGGCGACUGCGAGAGUCAGAGGACACCGUUGCCGUUCGAGCGUGAGGCCAUUUAUUCCGCACUAUCUCCAAAACAUAAAAGAACGUCUGUUGGCUUUGCAUUUCUGGGGACGUCUUCUGGGUGCGAGAGAAGAAGGGGAGCGUGGGAGAGAGAGAUCGUGGUCCAAUAAAUCAAAUCAAUUAGGGAAUUAAAGCGUGACGGUGCUCUGUUUCUGCUUGGCAUCGGUUGGCAGGGUGUGUGGUUUUUCGUUCUACCGUGACCAAUGUCUGCGGUACGGUGAAAUGGGGUUUUCGUGAGCUCUAAACCCUGUUCUCAAAAAGCGCGUCGCAUCGUUGCACGUUUUCGUUACUUGAACUAAAAUAGUGUGAAAGACCCUAAGAUCAUCAUCAUAAUAUUUGGUAGAGCAAUCAAUUUUUGCAACCAACAACACACGAUCAGUGAAAUGUGAUUUUUAUUGCCAAAACAAACGAUCUUAAUCCCAUAACAAACCUUCGUCGUAUAAAGUGAAGCGUGCUGCGUGGUUGUAAGUAAUAUCGUUUCACUUCCAUUAUACAACCUCCAAAAAAAAAACAACAGCAAGGGAUAAUCAUUUGGUUGAACGCUGAUGGAAUUAGUGAUGUACUCUCUGGAGCGCACCUACGGCUCCGGCCCGACUCCGGCUAUCGUUAGUGGUGUUGGGGGAUUCAGGAUUCGUAAGAUUCAAAGAUUCAAUCCUUAGAAUGAUUCAAUCGGAUCGGAUCCCAUUUGUAGGAUUUGAAUCCCUAAAAGAUUCCUUUGCGAAUGGGAUUUGAUUGCGACUCGAUUGGGAUUGCGAUUCGAUGGGGAUUCAAUGGGGAUUCUGAUUGGGAUUGCGAUUCGAUGGGGAUUCUGAUUGCGAUUGAGCUUGCGAUUGAAAUUAGAGGCUGUCCCCGAAAUACGCUAUUAAUGGGGGUCGAGAGAAAUCACCGAUCUCUAAUUUCGGAAGUCGAAUCACGCAGUUUUCAGUCAAAAUAUAGCAUGUAAUGAAACAUUUAAUGAGAAGUUUUUGUCACUAAAUAAAUUAUUCGAUUUAAUAUUGAAUGAAGGUCCGCGUAUCUCGGGGACCUGUACUAAUUAUGAUGUAAGUACUGUAAAGUUAAAUAAUUAAGAGUAAAUCCCCCUCCAGGAUUGGGAUUCGAAGAUUCGAAUCCCUUCUGAGAUUCAUUUUUCCCAUCACUAAUUGGUAGUUCGAUUCCAACAUCGGCAAAAUGGGAACCACUAGCUCCACCCAGAAUCGGAAUCGUCCGGAAUCAGAGUCGUCCAGAGUAGGAGUCGUCCGGAGUCGUCCGAAGUCGCCCGGAAUCGGAAUCGAUCGUCCGAAGACGAUCGGUGUAAUGUUUUUGUGGUCAGGCAUUUCAUUUCGUGGCGUUUUUUCCUCUUUCACUUUGCGUGUGCACUUCCUAAGUAGGUCUUGCUUUCUAAGACUGGAAGGUUUUACGAUACUAGCCAACUGCUUCAUAUGGAAGUUGACAGUUGGGGGCUGUAAUCAUGUCAACACUCCAUACUAAACCACAAGCAAAGUGCACGCAAAUUUCAACUCAUUUUAUACAGUAAAAAGAAAACAAAACGAUUUAAAAAUGCAUCAUUGUUUGUACACAAAUGGUGAAAUCCAAUAUGGCGGAUCGUAAUUUUGAAAUGGAUACAACCCGCAUGAUGAAUAUUGUUCCAUCGACAGGCUGAAAUUUCAGCUUUCUGGCUUACAAUAUGGAAGAGGCCACUACCGUUUUGUGCCCACCGGGGUCAGAGUUCGCUUUUCGCGUGCACUUCAUAUAGAGGCCUUUGUUUCGAAGGCCGACACCGGACGUCUUCGUACAACUCCGACUACGGCUUACUCCGGGCGACUUCGACUCCAGACGUCUCCGACUCUGACCAACUCCGGGCGAUUCCAGGCGUCUUCAAUUGACUCCAUAACGGCUGGGGAUAAUGCCACCGGAGUCUGUUCCGAAAUUGUCGGAGCCGUAUCGUAGUUUGGCCAACUUUACCCAUCACUAGAGGGAACACGUGUCCCCAUCCCCGUGAAAGGAUUGUUUAGCUCAGCUGUUCCACCAGCCGCACAGUUUGUAGCAUCGCCAAGACGAUGAGACACCAUUUGUUGGUAGGAAUUUUCCGCACACACACACAUACAGACGGCCAGCAGUGGCAGGUACAGCUUCACACACAGCAGCAACACCACCAAACAACCAUUCAAAAACGCGACUAGCGGGUUUGCAUUGCGGGCGGGUGUAAAUAAAUGUUAAAUUAUUGUUCUACCGAAACAGCGCCGCAAACCGAACAGAGCUCUCGAUGGCGUCGUUCUUUUCCUUUCCGCCGUUCCUUUCCGCACGAACAACGGCAGCCACAUAAAAAUAGACGCCACGGUUCAAUCGGUGACACGCGUGGAGUUUUGAAUUCGCUGAAAUUUACCCACACCGGCCUGUCGGGCCUCGUUGCCAUCCCUCUGCGAUGCCGAUUGUGUGUGCGCGAAAGAAUCGGCAAUCGCCAAGCGUUGUUCACAAUCGAGCUAGUAAAGCAGAGAGUAGAAGGAACCGUCGAAGAGUUCAAGAGCAAAAUGUGCGUUCGUUAGGUGGGAAAGAUUCACGGUGAUUUUAGCGGUUUAAUGCCGGAAAAAAGAUACGAGAGGACCUUCUUAAGUUACAGUCGUUUGAUAGCGCAAUUUGAGAUCCUGUUCGAGAAAGAUCGCGAUGUAAGAUCGAGGUAUUUGAAGAAAGAGAUAUGGGUUUAUUUUUGCUUAUGAUCGCAAAACGACAAAGAUAAGCGCAAAGAUUAGUACAGAACGACUUAUUUUGAGCAUUUAGCAUCCUUUGUCGAUCAACAAGAAGAUUCAAAUAUGGAUGGAAUAUGUCAUAAAAGCUUGUUUGUGUUGAUAGGACCACUUAAACCUAAAGGGAAUAAGUAUUUUACUACUAAUUACAUUGUCCUUUGCUUAAGCAAUGCUAUGGCUGGGUUUGUAGAGCUGAAACUGUAACAAAACGAUCAUUUCACCCACUGACUAUUCUCCUUUGAUUUGUAGUUAAUUUUAAUAACUAACACUCGUACAGAAACAUGUAUGAUAACGGCCCCAGCCUUCUAACGCUACAUUGUCUGUUAGGAACAGCUCAGCGUAUUCCCUAUACCCGUUCACACACACCAAUACCUGUUCAGCGACGCUCAGUGGUGGUUUUUCUGGGUUCGAUGGUUCUAUUUUCGGCAUUGACCACUUUGGCCCCACCACCACACUAGCGAACGAUUGUGUCCGGCUGACACGAUAUGAUCUAACCAGCCAGCAGCAGCAGCAGCCAGGAACAGCUGGCCCGCAAACAGCGCGGCUUUUCGAGGAUGAUAAACCGUCCGGAUCAGCAAUCACUUUCUCCGUUGGUGGAGGAAUGCGUCUACCGAUGGAACCGUGCUUUUUUGAUGGCAUGUCACAUAAAAAUUUGUAUCUCUUUCCCCUGUGUGUGUGUGUGUGUGUGAGGGCAUGGAGAAGGAAGUAUCAAUUUGAAGCGUUCAAGCGUUUCCGUUCCACACGCCCGGACCGCAACCACAUCUGGUCGCUGAGGCGGACAUCUGGAGGGAAGCCCGGCCCGGUGAUGCCGCGUGACAAAAUCCCUCUCACGCCUCACUGUAAUGGUGUGUGUGUGUCUGUUUUUUAUGGAUUUUUGUUUUUUCUUCUGUUUUUUUUUAGCUCGAUCGUGUGGCCAAACACCCAGCCAAACAGGAAAUGUUCUUGUCAAUCUCUUCGAUCUGUGCAGCCCCAACCGCAUCAGCGUCCCAGCGUUUGGCGUUCCAUCGGGCCGUGGCUUUGGCACCGGUUUCAUCGCCAACAGUCGCCAAAUUCGGCACACAUGUGUGGAGGAGCGUGUUUGUGUGCGUGUGUGUGUUCCCUAGUACAUCGAACACAGCCCUUACUGCACAAUUUACUCUGUUUUUCGGCACCAAAUUUUGGGACAUCAUAUUCACUCGGCUGGUGGUACGUACGCAGAGGGUAAAAGAUCAAGUGCAAGGCAGUACGUUGAUCCAUUGUCGACCGAGGGGCAAAUGGCGAUGGCGACCACGGUACCGAUGGGAAGCGGCCAAAGUCGUUCACUUCUGAGUCGCUGUGACUUGACUGACCAAGCGGCGAUGGUAAUUAGUCGUAAAAUUCGUUAAAUCUUUCCCGCGCCUGUGCGUCUUACGGUGCCGGCCAGUGCCAGUGCCAGUGGCAAGAAACAUUAUUCCGAACACGUACGUUACGUGCACUUUGUGUGUUUGUGUGUGUGUUCGGUGCGGUGCCAAAUUUGUUUUAGCGAGCGAUUCAUCAACAUAAACAUAAAGCGGGGCCUGUGAAUGUUAAGGUUAAGUAAAAUGGAUUGUUUGAGUGGGAGAGGGGGAAAGGGAGAUAACCUGAUGCGGAAAGGGUUUAAAUAUUCACGUGUGUUUGCGUGCGCAAUAGCAUGCAUUAUGACGCGGAGGUACUUUCAAAGAUAAGAUUAAAGCCUGCAAUAAAGGAGAGUCUUCACUGUAAGUUUAGUUCAACUGUGUCAUAUUUGUAGCUCUCUCGAACUUUAUCGUUCUUAAUGUACCUUAAAUUACAUCAGCAGGACGGAUUCAAGUGAUUUAUACUUGCGAUUAAAUAAGUCGCGAUCGUAUUACAGGGUUUUCCACGAUUCAUUGUUUAUUUCCCGUAAUUUGUUGAGUCCGUCUCACGAUGAAUUCGCCGCUUCCUAUAUUUAUUUGAAUCGUAGCAUUAGAUAGCAAUACAAUUAAACCAAAAAUAAUGGGAAUGAUUCAAACAACUUUGGGAAGCUUCCACAAAUUUUCCGGAAAUAGUCAAUAAGUCUUGGGAAUUCCUUCAUUGUUUUAAGAUUUGUUCUACGUCCGUCAUACGGUUUGCACUAGUGAUCGGGAAAGUUGGCAAACAUGUAGAGUUUUGGAACGUUUUGAAACCAACUGCGGAAGCAUUAUCCGGACCUUUUAGAAAUCGCCUGGAAUCGUCCGGAAUCAUCCAGAGUCGUCCAGAGUCGUCCGGAGUCAUCCAGAGUCGAUAGGAUUCGUCGGGAGCCGGCAAUAGUCGCCCGUAGAGUCGUCUAGAGUGGGCCGGAGACUGCCGGUGUAAUGUUUUUUAGUUAGCCACAAACACAUUGCACCGGCAUGUCUUCGUCGGACUCUAGGCGAGCUCAAAUGUCUCCGACUCUGUCUCUGGACGACUCCGAUUCCGGGUGGAACUUUGGGUUCCAAUUUUGCCGUAGUUGGAAUCGGGCUUACAAAUAGCCGGAGUCGGAACGGAGUCGUCCGGAGUCGCGGAGCGAUCAAACUACUAUUUUGCACGCUGUAUUGUAUUUGCAUGUAAUGUGUAUGUAUUGGUUUAUCUGCCCAUGGGGGUGUUCGAUAUAACGCGUAAACAACCUUUGUUAUCCAAAAUUUUCCAACUGUUAACAAAAUUUCAAGAAACAACUCCAUACUUAAGUAACAUAAGCAUCAUUAUUAUCAAAGUUUAUUGUGAAGGAACUAAACCAUAAAACAUUCCAAUCAGACCGUACAAAGAUAAAGUACAAUUGGAUAUUACAGCGCUACUCCAAUAAGUGCUUUCUUAUUGUAUGUAUUCUUGUAUAUAUGACAUCUCUUUUCCUACUGCUGCAUUCCCAUAUUAAAUUAAACGUAAUUUAAUCCCAAAAAUUUAUUCAACUUUGAGAUACUAAAAUUUAAAAUAUUCAUUAAACCCCUAUGACCUCUGCACAACAGUGCACAAUGAGCAAGAGAUUGGCUUGCCUUCAUAAUUAGCCGUACCGUUUUUCUCACUCGACCUGAUUUAGCUUAAUUCUUCACAUUUCCUCUUUCUCUACCCUCAAAAAAUUCGAUGAAUGUUUUAGUGCCCCUUUUUUAAUGAACCCUUUUUCAACCCACUCUCAGGACGCUCUCGAAACAAUUGCUUUCAUUCGCACCUUGCUUCCGGCGUGUGGCUUACCUGUUCCCUUACAAAUAGUGCCUUUUAGUCCCGCAGUCGAAAUGGCGCAAUCCGAACAAAAUGUUUCCCCACACCUUCCCGCGCUGCCAAGAUAUUCCCCGCGGGUGCCAGACAAACGCUCGAGUGUGUUUGAUUUAUGUCUCGGUGACCUUCACGAUUUAUAACGCUACUGUCGCGAUCUGUCGCGCCGCGAGGCCAUCCAUUAGCGAUCGUUCGUAGUGGUGGUGGUGGUGGUAGAAUCAAGAAUGAGUUAAGGCGGAGAGAGAACCACUCACAGAGAGCGUGAGAGAGAAUUAUAACAUAAGAUUUUACUUGAAUUUUUAAUGUGUCAGCUUGGUAAAAUAGUUUCCAUUACAAACAGUUUUCCGAAAUUAUUCUUAUUCAGGUUCAGGUUUGAUUUGUUUGCAAGGAUGAUUCGUGCACCUCAGUUUAUCACCUUUGGUACGGUCGUUGGCUGGUUGUUCAGCCGUUGGCUGCGAGGUUUCUGUCGGCUGAUCGGUCCCAUCUGGCACCGAUCACCGUCCGGGCAGGCAAGCGAACGUGCGGCACUGUUUGUGUUUGUGGUGUCUUGUUGUGCCCUCCGUCGGGCGCGCCUGCCUGUGUCUGUGUGUUGGUUGUAUCGUGUACCAGCUACCGGGCGUCUCCAUUGAAUUUGCGCCACACAGCAGGCGUGGCGUUGCUUUUCCUGCGCCACACAUGAACCACCUUGACAUCCGCGUUUACGAGCAUCAGUUGUGUGCCCUGACCUUGGCGUUUUGUCGGGGCUGCGUUUUGUGUUAUGGUUUGCGGGUUAUGUUGGUUACCCCUCACCGGGGCACAAUGGGAGUGAACGGAAUGCUUUCCCUUUUUCUUGUUUGUUGAGGGUCUAAGCAGAAACCUCGACGCAAGGUGAGGUUAUUAGCAAAUGUUCGCACUCAGCGGUAUGCGGUGCUAAUGCCAUGUCGCAUUACAUACGCGGGAAUAGUUAUUUAUUUCCCACGGCACGGUUCGUUUUCUGUUCUGUCGUUUAGUAGAUAUUUUAGCAUUAUGCAAUGAGGGUUUUGUGUUGGACCAGGAUGGUGUAAACAACGCCAUUCGGUGAAUGAGUUAGAAAGGCAAAUGGGCAUUUUUAUUUUCACCAUUCAUUCACACUUUCGAUCGUUUGAUCGUUCGUUUGAGCGAUCGUUUUGAGGCCUCGUAGUGUUGUUGAACUCACUGUAGGAUCACGUUUUAAGUAGCUUCCAUAUAGAUGAAAUUUCCUUUCACAAAUACAUACGUUAGUAAGAAAAGAAAACAACAGCUUAACCUCUCUAUCUAGCUUCCGAACCUAUCUCCAUUAGCAUGCAAUUGGCUACCAAAUAUUUGCAUUCAUAUUACUGGCUGUUUUGCUGUACUAUUUGUUACUUUUUCCACGAAACAAUAACAUAAAGUUUAUUUCUUUGUGCUCCUUUUAGCAAACGGAUGGUCGCAAUGAUUUUAAAAUAGAAAUUAGACUGUUACUACCAAGAAAAGCGGGUUGAAUGGAUUUUAUUUUGUUUUCAUUUUGAUUGUUGCACGUUGCAUUGUCACUUCAUACCAUCUAUCAGUCGUAUUGCCUUCGAGUUUCAGUGCGCUUUUGCUAUACCAAAACAACGACCGAAUCUCAAAUGUGUAUUCAUUUGACAAAAAAAAACAACCGAAAAGUCAGUAAAUUUUCCUUCAAACGUCUUUCUUCAUUCCGCUAAAAGUGAAUGUUUGCCAAUAAAAAACAAAAUAAAAAAAGCACCACAAUAAUUAUAAAAUCUCUUAAGCUUCCCGCUCAUCCCAAACCUUUCCACUGUCACGCCAUCGUACCGUUGGGAGGGCGAACGAACGCACGCAAAUGACGCGAACGCAUAUUGGCAGGCGUCACACACCGGCCAGAUGUUAUCGCCCAUUUCGUCGGCAUGCGACGAUACACAAAAACGGGGAAAGCAAAACCAAAGCCACAAAAAAAAAAAAAGAAAAACACAGAAACAAGCAGCCGAGCCCGAGACGCUGCUGCACCAUGCCCCCAAAAUGCUUCAAUCGGGUAGCGGGAUCAUCACAACAAUGCACACGCCGUUGCGGGAUUCCUUGCGCACUGGCGUGAUGUGAUGAUGCUUGGCCCCGGGACCCGCCGUCUGCCAAAUGCUGGCCCGACUGACUGCUGCAUACGAAUUGGCACGGGUUUUGUGUUUUGGAGAUGCUAGCCGGCACGGAGGAGGAGAUUGAAGAAGAUUCCGUUGCCGAUGUUUGCGAUUGGGGUGCGAUUUAUUUGGUGCGUAUCGAAAGACGAUCAUCGUUAUUUGCGGGGUUUGGGCCCGAACGGACGGCAGUAAAACCCGGCACUGUCUGAUCGGGGAAUGGGAUUAGAUGUUUUUAGUGGUUCGUGCAGUUAAUUGGAGCGGAUGGUCUGAUCGCUUGGCGGCAGAAGAGCGUUUGGAGGGAAAUUAGGUUGUUGUUGAGUGUCUGGGAGCGUUUGGUUGAGGUUUUUAGAAUAACGUUAUUUAAAUAAGUUUAUUGUAGCCGUGUUAUAAAAGGCUAUAUUGUUUAAGCUUUAUAGGAAACGUUUGUAGUAUAGGUUUGAUUUUUUACAUACAGUGAAUUAGGAGCGAUUAGUGUAUCAAUGUUUCAGAAUUAUCGAUGGAUUUAUGCACACUAGGCGCCUCCAUCUGUUACAGUCAUCCACAACCGAAAAAGACAAAUAAUAAUUUACUAGAGAAACAAAAACUUAUUGAUUGACUUAUAAACGGCUUGCUGAAGCGUGGUUAUGUUUAUAGAAUCCCGUACAAUGCGUUUGACGUUUCGUAUCGAUCAUCUCAUCAACUACACCACGUGUCGAGGCAGGAAAAUGUUUAGCUUUGCCUGUCUUCGCUCGAGGUAUGUUCGUUUCUUUCACACACACACGCGCGCAAACACUCCCCCCUUCGAAUGGUCAUGUAGCAACAAAUCUCUGCUAAUCCCGGGUAUCAAUUAUCACGUCCACGCACACUUUGCAGACGGAUCAACCGGGCGAGGGCAGUGCCUUAUCUUCCUUAUUUUCGUGCAAAGUGGCGAACGUUCGCUUUAUCGUUCUCUCUCGUGUGUAUGUGUGUGUGUGUGUGUGUGGUGGAUCUUCCCGGUCUUGUCAUGCAACGCUAGCUUGUACACGAAACGUGCCGUUUCAACAAAACACUGGUAAAAUAAUAAUAAAACCAUGCGCCUCGCCCUUCCUCCCGGAUCUCCCCGGUCGUAGGAAGAAAACAUCACCAUCACCGCCGAAAAGCAUCGAAAUGAGACAUUUCAAUUCUAAUUUUAGUUGACACUAUGCCAAAGUACCAACCGACUCUUCCCCAUCCGAGAAACGUUCCGUUGAUGGAAGCAGAGAAAAAGAGCGAAAGAGCCAGUAGGUCACUUUUGGCUUAGGCGAUCGCUUGCCCCGCGGGACGGGAAGGAAAUAAUAAUUUUCCACUUUAAGCGAUCAUUCCGCGAUUUCGAUCAUUAUGAUGGUGUUUGCACCGCUCGGUUGCAACGGGCAGGAGCGAGGGUUGAUUUAUUGCUGGCAAAUAUUUUCAUUGACAAAUAAGCCAACUUAUGGACGAGCUGCAGUGUGUGAUUCGUUAAAAAUCGUGGCGCGCGUGUAUGUGAGAGAGAGAGUGUGUGUGUUUGUGAAUCACAUAAUGAGGUUUAUUAUUGGCGUUUUUGAGUGAGGAAUUAUUUUUAUUAAGCUUAACAAGCGUGUUGCAUUCCACUGGAGGUAAACAGCGUGUUUUUGGCUCGUGGUAGAAGAUGCUGCCGGUGAUCGUUAACUUUGUUUCGAUGGCAAAACGGCAAACCAUCUGGAUUGGAGAGUGAUGUGGGAAGGGAAAUGGCACUGUUUUUUGUCAUCCUUCGCAUGAAGGAUUGGUAAUAAUGAUCACCUACAGCAAUACAUACUAAUUCAGAACCAUUUAAUGAGUAAUUAAACAGAUAUAUUUUAAAAAAUUGCGAAUGUUUGCUUUACUAUUGAUUGCAAAAUAUCUCCUCCAAUGACUCUUUAUGGAUGUUUAAUCCUUGUUCUAUUGGAACCAAUUUCAACAGAACACAAAGUCGUAUUAUUACUAAAUAAAAUUUUCUUUAGUUUUAUAUUAAUAAUAAUAAUAAAAGACUGAUUUAUUCUAAAAGAUAUUUUUUUGCAAACAAACGACAUGGGCAAGAUUUACAGGGUUGUCCAGGGGUUCUUAUAGUUGUGGGACACUUCAUAGAUUCUUUCUUAUUAGAACUUCAUAUGAUGGAAAUUGGACUCUAUGGCAUCGUUUUUGGACAGACUUCUUGGAAAUUCGUAUUGGAUUUGUCCAACUAGUGUGCUAUAGAGUCCAAUUCACAUUACAUUAAGUUCUUUUCACGUAAGAAGGAGUCAAUAAAGUGUCCCACAGCUAUGAGUACUCCUGGACAACCUGUAUAUCAAACAUAUUAUACUUUGCCUCAGUGUAGUGCAUUAAUACUAUCCAUAUUUUAAGACAAAAUUAUCAACAAAACUUAGCACAAUUUCUCAGCUUCUCCAUGGAUCGAUGAAGCCCUUUUCUUUUCUUAUGAAUGAACGCCCCACGUCAUCCAUUCAAAAAUCUACCCAUCUUUACCCGAUCAUCAACGUGCCGAUUGCAGCAAGCAAGCACCGUACCGCGCAUUUUUGCGAUCGUUUUCUACUCACUCUUUUCGCUUUCAUAUCUCCCCAGCACGAGGAUGAAAAAUGUGCAUCAUAUUGUGACGAUUUGUGAGCUUCUUCGCCUGAUCCGACCGUUGCCGGCAGCAAAUUAAUCAAUCAAGCGGGCGGCGGCUUUACUUUCCACUCAAAAAACUCAAUACCAAAUCGAUCAAGCGCAGCACGACCGAGGCCGGCGUUGGUCGGUUGGUUUGAGUAAUUGCACCGCCAGCUGGAUGGAACGGCUAGCUCUGCGGCUCUCCGAAGUGCGGUCUCCAUAGAAACAGCUAGCCGCCUGUUGGUCGGGACUAAUAUUUCAGCAUAAAGUUACGAGCGAUGGGUACGCCUGGUUGUUGGUAGAAUUGGAGUAAAGCGCGCGCCCGAGCGCCCACGUGCCCGAGAAGCACCUGGAGCGUACAUUAUAAAUGCCGGCUUUGGAACGUAUGAAAAAAAAAAAAAACAGAAAAAAUGACUUGCCACCGAAAUCGUAAACAUUUCAAACACCUUUCUCGUUUCUGUGUUUGUGACGAAUGUUUAUGAACAUGUCCGCCCAAUCAGUCCGCAGGAAUAUUGUUGCCAUUAUUCUUCCUCCGCGAAACGGUUUUGGUUUCUCCCAUUUCCAUUCAAUUCUUUUUUACCCAUACAAACGGCUACUUUCCCUUCUGUCUCCUCCCUUCGCUGUCGUUCAUUGUCGUGUAAGAAAAUGGCGUCGAGAGUCGCACGCCACUACAGUUGGCCACAAACUCACAGUCGUAUUUGACGUCAAACGGUCACCCUAAUUGCGUUUGUGCCUGGUCUGGCUUGGCGGUUCGACCCAUCCAAGCGAACCCCUUUCGACGAAAGUCAAGCCGCACGAGGAAAGGAAACUCGAGAGGUAUGUACCACCAUGUACCACCCUCCGGUUCCCGUGGCAAACCGUGGUGGCCGGUGUGGCAGGAAAAUAAACGAGCUACAUUGUUUACCGAUCGAGUCUGCGGUAACGGCGUCGUAAAGUACAGGCCGUCGGCUUACGAUUCGCACCGCGGCCACUCCAGGGAUUGAACUGGGGGAGGGUUGUUUUUUUUUCUUGUGUGUGGUUCGGUUCGGAUUGGCAAUCGGCACGCGGAAAUGGCCUAUUUGCGAACGGGAUGGAAUUAGGGUGAGCAUUCACACAGAAGGUUGAUGGUGUUUUGGUGCUGAGUGAGAAAAGAAGGAUCUAAUCUGGGUGAAAGCAUUAGCAAUAUGUUGAAUUGUUUAAUUGAGCAUUGAUCGCAGUAUGAUCGCAAUGAAAGUAAGAUAAUAGUGUGAAAUUAGUGUACACUGUAACGUGAAACACUUGUUCCAAAAUUGAAAUAAAUGCCCUUUCGAUCUUCA